RNAcentral lists this ribosomal RNA (301 nucleotides) under uncultured bacterium. RNAcentral describes it as "partial 16S ribosomal RNA". It matches the Rfam family "Bacterial small subunit ribosomal RNA", at positions 509 to 807 of the family's 1533-position model. The record is from RNAcentral.
CAGCCGCCGCGGUAAUACGAAGGGGGCUAGCGUUGUUCGGAAUUACUGGGCGUAAAGCGCACGUAGGCGGAUAUUUAAGUCAGGGGUGAAAUCCCGCAGCUCAACUGCGGAACUGCCUUUGAUACUGGGUAUCUUGAGUAUGGAAGAGGUUAGUGGAAUUGCGAGUGUAGAGGUGAAAUUCGUAGAUAUUCGCAGGAACACCAGUGGCGAAGGCGGCUAACUGGUCCAUAACUGACGCUGAGGUGCGAAAGCGUGGGGAUCAAACAGGAUUAGAUACCCCUGUAGUCCCUGUCUCUUAUAC